RNAcentral lists this ribosomal RNA (467 nucleotides) under uncultured bacterium. RNAcentral's name for it is "partial 16S ribosomal RNA". It matches the Rfam family "Bacterial small subunit ribosomal RNA", at positions 28 to 506 of the family's 1533-position model. The record is from RNAcentral.
GACGAACGCUGGCGGCGUGCUUAACACAUGCAAGUCGAACGGAAAGGCCCUGCUUUUGUGGGGUGCUCGAGUGGCGAACGGGUGAGUAACACGUGAGUAACCUGCCCUUGACUUUGGGAUAACUUCAGGAAACUGGGGCUAAUACCGGAUAGGAGCUCCUGCUGCAUGGUGGGGGUUGGAAAGUUUCGGCGGUUGGGGAUGGACUCGCGGCUUAUCAGCUUGUUGGUGGGGUAGUGGCUUACCAAGGCUUUGACGGGUAGCCGGCCUGAGAGGGUGACCGGCAACAUGGGGACUGGGAUACGGCCCAGACUCCUACGGGGGGAAGCGGUGGGAAAUAUUGCACAAGGGGCGGAGGCCUGAUGCAGCAACGCCGGGUGGGGGAUGACGGCCUUCGGGUUGUAAACCGCUUUCGCCUGUGACGAAGCGUGAGUGACGGUAAUGGGUAAAGAAGCACCGGCUAACUACGU